This 63-nucleotide transfer RNA is filed under the name Emplectonema gracile. RNAcentral describes it as "tRNA-Leu". Lineage: Eukaryota; Metazoa; Nemertea; Enopla; Monostilifera; Emplectonematidae. The record is from RNAcentral.
UGCUUCGUUGGCAGAAUAUUGUGCUUGUUUUAGGAGCAAGAAAUAUGGGUUUCCAUACGUUGU